CCUACGGGUGGCAGCAGUAGGGAAUUGUUCGCAAUGGGCGCAAGCCUGACGACGCAACGCCGCGUGGAGGAUGAAGAUUUUCGGAUCGUAAACUCCUUUCGAUUGGGACGAAUUUUCCGGGGGUUAACAGCCUCUGCAAGUGACGGUACCGAGAGAAGAAGCCCCGGCUAACUCCGUGCCAGCAGCCGCGGUAAUACGGGGGGGGCAAGCGUUGUUCGGAAUUACUGGGCGUAAAGGGCUCGUAGGCGGCCAACUAAGUCAUACGUGAAAUCCCUCGGCUUAACCGGGGAACUGCGUCUGAUACUGGAUGGCUCGAGUUCGGGAGAGGGAUGCGGAAUUCCAGGUGUAGCGGUGAAAUGCGUAGAUAUCUGGAGGAACACCGGUGGCGAAGGCGGCAUCCUGGACCGAUACUGACGCUGAGGAGCGAAAGCCAGGGGAGCAAACGGGAUUAGAUACCCGAGUAGUC
RNAcentral lists this ribosomal RNA (466 nucleotides) under uncultured bacterium. RNAcentral's name for it is "bacterial SSU rRNA". It matches the Rfam family "Bacterial small subunit ribosomal RNA", at positions 338 to 795 of the family's 1533-position model. The record is from RNAcentral.